GCAGGGGAAAAAAAAUACAGUCCGUGCCUGUGUAAUCUGAGCCAACAAUAUAAAAGAGCGAAACGAUUACCGGAAGUGUAUUCGCCCUUUAAGUUCACAUGACAGAGAUGCCUGCAGUUCAGAUCGUAGGGCAUCACACGCGCACUAUAAAGUCAAAGCGCAGGGCACAGCACCCUGACACACAGCGCAGAGCGGCAGAGAGGAGGCGACAAAACAGCAGCAGCAGGCGGAGGAGGAGAUCGCAGUCUGGCGAUGUGACGGGUCGUCAGCUGUACCAAGUGUUACCGGUGUUUUCUUGGAUUGUGUCUGACUGAAUGUUUGAGCAAGUGUCUGGGAGAGAACACAGUGCAUGCAGUGGUAGAGGGGGACGUGGAUAUUGAAGUGCUUCCUCAUCGCCACGAUUACCAUGUCAGACCAGAACCAGCAGCUUUGGAUACAGCAUGUGAAAUAAUAGAGGCUCAGCGGCUGUGGAUAGAAGAGCUGAGAAAGAGACUGAAGGAGGUCUCAUUGAAGCAGUCAUUUGGGUUGGAGAGGUUUUCGGCAUUGGAUGAAGACAUCAGAUUCUAUACCAGGACUUGUCUCCCCUGCUCCAGUCCAUCAGAACUGAUGCGUUCCAAUGAUUGAUGAACUGUUCCUGUUGGUGUACCUGUCUCUGGGUCUGAAAGAGAAAGAUCUGGAUGACCGUUUCAACAUUCAGCAGUCCACAGUCAGCAGGAUCAUCAAAACCUGGCAGUAAUCAGGACUGGGAGGACAACCCUGAUGCUUCUUCACACACAGAACAGGAAGAGAAUCACGCUGCUCUUCAACUACAGGAAAUACCCUCUGUGCCGAUGACGCAGGUCUCAGGGGAAAGCUCAGCAAAUUCUGUAGAUGUGAAGCAAACUGUAAACUGUGUAAGUGCAAGGCUGCCUGUGCAAAGCUGUGCAACAUAUUGCAGCAUGGACACACACACACACACAAACAUGCACACACACACAGAAACGUUCACGCAUUGAGAUGCAUUAUCUCUUUAAGUUCUAUCUUGUGCUGUAUGUUAAAACUAUGGCAUACAAUUAAGUUUGACUUAGUUGUCAAACACAACUACAGGAUCUGCCUUUCUCUCCCUCAGCACCAGCUUACACACAUGCACGCAAACUAGAUGAAAGGACGUAAAUCUGUAAAGCUGCCACUAGAUGAUAAGUCUGAGCCGCGAGAUUUCCCCCAGCAACAUGUCCAGCGGUCUGCCUAAUUAGAGCCGAGUGUAUCUGUGGGCAACGGAGUCUGUAUCUGCAAAUGUAAAGGGGAUUUGGCCGGGAGCAUUCAUUCACUCAGCUGUCUGGUGGGAAGACAAUGGUGAGGGCUGCAGAUUGGAUUUCUUGUUUCCAGAGGAAAGACAAGAAUAAUGCCGGUUGAAUAUCCCAUAGAGAUGGAUUUAUUGGGACUGCUGGUAUUGGAAAAAUCCGGUUAGGGACUUAAUCAAAACAGAGCAGCAACAGCAGCAGAGGCAGGGAGAGACUAAGCUGAGCCUGUAGGCCGGGCCAAACUGAAGCCAGCCCUGCAUAUCCUGUCCUUUACCUGUCCUCUCUGUCCUCAGAGUGGGUCCACUCCACUCAUUUAUCCUUUGUCUGAGCCAUUAUAUGAAAGGGCGUCCUCCCUUCCUGUCCUCAAGGAUAAGCCCUCCCUCAUUUCUGCGUGUGACCUCAUGCAGAAUAUACGAACAUUUUUCUGUCUGUGUGCAGAGUGUUGCUGUGAAACUCCAAAUCAUGGAUACCUAGACCUCAAGAGUUACUUAAGCACUAAUCAAAAUAAAACAGAAAAGGUAGAAUAAGGAUAUAAUAAAUCAAAUG
Molecule: long non-coding RNA, 1826 nt
Organism: Oreochromis niloticus (Nile tilapia)
Lineage: Eukaryota; Metazoa; Chordata; Actinopteri; Cichliformes; Cichlidae
Exons: 4
Source: RefSeq, a predicted model, not a curated record